RNAcentral lists this long non-coding RNA (336 nucleotides) under Homo sapiens (human). RNAcentral describes it as "non-protein coding lnc-NEU1-3:1". The record is from RNAcentral. Lineage: Eukaryota; Metazoa; Chordata; Mammalia; Primates; Hominidae.
AGCCACCAUGCCUGGCCCUAAUUGAGAUGGAGUCUCACUCUGUCGCGCAGGCUGGAGUGCAGUGGCGGGAUCUUGACUCACUGCAAGCUCCACCUCCCGGGUUCACGCCAUUCUCCUGCCUCAGCCUCCCGAGGAGCUGGGACUACAGGCGCCCGCCACCACGCCCGGCUGAUUUUUGUAUUUUUAGUAGAGACGGGGUUUCACCGUGUUAGACAGGAUGGUCUUGAUCUCCUGACCUCGUGAUCUGCCCGCCUCGGCCUCCUAAAGUGCUGGGAUUACAGGCGUGAGCCUGGCCCUUUUUUAUAUUUUUUUUAGUAGAGAUGGGGUUUCACCAUG